AAUAGAUACCCGGGUAGUCCAUGCCGUAAACGUUGGGCGCUAGGUGUGGGAUCCAUUCCACGGGUUCCGUGCCGCAGCUAACGCAUUAAGCGCCCCGCCUGGGGAGUACGGCCGCAAGGCUAAAACUCAAAGGAAUUGACGGGGGGCCCGCACAAGCGGCGGAGCAUGCUGAUUAAUUCGAUGCAACGCGAAGAACCUUACCUGGGUUUGACAUACACCAGAAGCCUGCAGAAAUGUGGGUCUCUUUGGACACUGGUGUACAGGUGGUGCAUGGCUGUCGUCAGCUCGUGUCGUGAGAUGUUGGGUUAAGUCCCGCAACGAGCGCAACCCUUGUCCUAUGUUGCCAGCACGUAGUGGUGGGGACUCAUGGGAGACUGCCGGGGUCAACUCGGAGGAAGGUAGGGAUGACGUCAAGUCAUCAUGCCCCUUAUGUCCAGGGCUUCAAGCAUGCUACAAUGGCCGGUACAAAGGGCUGCGAAACUGCAAGGUGGAGCGAAUCCCAAAAAGCCGGUCUCAGUUCGGAUUGGGGUCG
Molecule: ribosomal RNA, 532 nt
Filed under: uncultured bacterium
Lineage: Bacteria
Description: bacterial SSU rRNA
Rfam family: Bacterial small subunit ribosomal RNA
Source: RNAcentral